This 24999-nucleotide long non-coding RNA is filed under the name Olea europaea (common olive). RNAcentral describes it as "long non-coding RNA (OEUR_LNC009469)". The record is from RNAcentral. Lineage: Eukaryota; Viridiplantae; Streptophyta; Magnoliopsida; Lamiales; Oleaceae.
UUACUCUUAUAUCCAUUUUAAUUUGAAAAAUUGGGGCGAAACGAGGGGUUGAGGAAUGAAAAAAUUCUGAGAAAACUAGGAAGGAGAAAUACAACCAAUACGAAGCACAGCCAUGGUGAGGCCUACUAACUGAACCUCCACUUUUUCAUAUCGCAAUCACCUUUACUUUUUGUUAUUUAUUUUGCUACAGGCGGAAAUUUAGUCAGAGGUCGAUAUGAAUAUAUUCGUGCGUGUGUUUUGUGCAGGCAUUUUUUUUUUUUUUUAAAUUAAUUGGUGGGUUCUUGAUCAAUGUUCAGAUUUAUGUCACUUUAAGGUUAGAAAUGGUUUAAAAGGAAAGACCAUGGCUGGCUAAUAGAAGAAUUCUGGAAGGCUGUAAGUGAUAUCUUCUUUUCAUGUUUUGCCAUUCUUUUCAUGUAAGUAUACAAUCAAUGUGCAGUUUUGAAGUUAUCUGUUAAUUAUGAUAGUAUUAGAAGAUAAUUACUCUGAUUAAUUAUAAAUAAGUAUUAUGUUAUGUUGCUGCAGGACUGGUUGUGUAUUGCUCUAAAAGCUUUCAUUCAAAUAUGCUUUUUACAUCUUUAUUUAUUGUUAAUUUUAUUCUCAGUAAAUGGUGUUUAUCUUAAUUGGAUAUAUGAGUUCUACAUCUGGGUUUUUACAUCUGGGUUUUUGUGGUGAUGAACAUUCGAAACAUGGAAAUAAAAUCUUCAACCGUUAUCAGAUGAUGGUUUUGGCUGCAUUGUAGGUCAUAGAGUCUUUAGACAUUUAACAUCUACUUGAUUUUAAUUUAUUAACCCAUUUUCCAUUUGUUACAUUGAAUUGCACUGACAUAAAAUGAUUGCAUCACUUGUUUUGGUGUGAAUGCUGAUUCAUUUGACAGAAGAUGUCUGUUGUGAAAUAUCUAUAUUUUUACCUACGGUCCUACACAUGCAACAAAGUACUAUGGGAGUUGUGGCUUGUAUGUCGCCAUUCUCCUUUUCUAUCUCAGUUUCUCUCUGGGCUUCAUAUUAACUGUUAGGGUAAUGCUCAAAAGCUUGAGUUGCUUGAUUGAAGUCAUGUCGUCAUUUUCAGUAGCACCCUUUAAGGUGAAACUACUAGUGUGAGCUCUGUCAAGUCAUGUAUAACCUGCAUGUCAUAUUGUUACAGUUUCCCCCAUAAGCAAAUGAUACACAUCCAUUGGCACGAUGUCUCCAAACGUUGCGAUUCAUCAAGCUGUUCGACGAACUGAUAAGAUCUUGUUUGUCAACCAUUAACUCUGUCCACCUUUUCUAGCCUCAAAACUUAUAUGGUUUUGGAUGUCACUCGGUAGUUAACUCUAAUUUCUUCACCGUCUCUUCAAAAACCUCAUCAUAAAAUUGCCGAGGUCAAGUAUUGAACCGACACUUAAUCCCAACAUUGCACAUCGACUGGAUCAGAUUGUUAUGAAGUUGCUGGUAUCAUCACUAUAGACAUUCCUGUUUAUGAAAUGAAUCUUCGGAUCUUCUGAUAGCAAACAGGACAACUAAUUGGUCAUUGAUAACAAACUUUACCUUUUGGUGCAACGUAGAUGGGCCUUAUGGGGAAGGGCCUUGCUGUGUCUGUUUUGUCUUCCCUAAGGUCUAUUGCAUUGAAAGGUCAUCUCUGAACUACUAAAAAUGGCACCUUAUUGCCCUUUAACUGCUACCUGAAGUCUUGGCUUCAAUCUUCUCAUAAAAAACUAGUAGACUCCCACACAUAUCAUCGCCAACGUUUUAACGCACUAAGUUCUAUAACCCGAUGUGUUACUAUUUUUCAUUUCUUUUUUGCACCCACUGCCUUAACAUAGAUCCCACAAGAGGCUAGUGAAGAAGAAUGUGUUUAGUGCUUAGCCCAAAUCGUAAACAUCUCGAGUUAUGAACCAUAGCAUGCCAUGAAAUCUGAUUUUAAACUUUUAACCUAGGACAUGGAAAAAGUUCUAACUUUCAAUUUGCCCAAUUUGUCGCCAUAAAUUAUCUGAAGUACCAAACAACCAUGAAAAAAAUAUGAAACUUAUACAGUAAUCACAUAACUCAUCUACCAACAACAUAUCCAAAUUUAACGAUUUAUCAUCCGUUUAGUCAGUCAAAUUGAUCGACAAAGUCACAUGUCUACAAAUUUAUGGGUAAUAUUUUUGCAAUUCGUGAGAAUGACCAUAACUAAUUCUACGGUUGGCUGUCUCGGUUGACCAUUGCUUCUCCAACUGUAGUGUGCCUUGUUCCCUAUUGGUUCAACGGCGCCUCACAUGGCAAUGUGGUUACCUCCUGCUCCACACUCUAUAAUAUUAUUGAACCAAUAGGGAACAAAGCACACUCCUCACAUGGCAAUGUAUUGAGCCAAGACCAUAUCAGUUUGUUGCUUGAAUGUGUUACCUCCUUUCUGCAAGCUCUUCAUCCAUGGAUGAAUUGUGAUAUUUAGUAGUAUCAUUGGUGGCAUAUUGAUAAAUAACUCAAACUGUGCUCUAUAAGAGAUGAUGUGUGGAAGCAUACGAAGUAAACAAACAUGAGAUCAACUAAAUUGGUUGAUUCUCGAAUCUUAAUGGAUACUAUAAGUUGGAUUAGACAUGGAGAACACUGCAGAUCUUGUUACUUGAGUUAUAAAGUAAAUAUAGCUAAUCAAAUUGCUAAAGUAUGAAAUAAAAUAAGAUAGUUGUGAGCUCCCAAUGCCUCCUAGCCAUGCAGCACCUUCCUCUCCAUCUUUGGGUGGUCUAGUCUAUUCUCAAAUGUGUGGAUCACGUCUUUGGUUGCACCAAAUAUGUUGAUGAUUCUCUCCAAGUUCCUGUUAGUAGUAAUGAUAUGGACUAAUGGAGACGUCAAGGUUGUUUCUACUUUAGCAAUAUAUUACAACUUUUUUACUUGAUACCUAAUUUGAGAACUUAUUAUUUCCUACUUUUUUUAUAUUGCAAGUUCAACAAUAAAUUUUUGAUAAUUAAUUUUUAUGAUUGAUUUUCAAGGUGGUUUAUUGUAUAUUAUAGCCCUAUCUUUGUAUUUUAUGUUCUCUUAAAUCAUUUUAUUGGUUUCUUUCAAGGAUUGUGCCUCGUCUAAAAGAGGUAAAACUCCUUGGUCACGGAUUGAACCCUACAAGAGAUCAUUCGACAUUGUAUCCUCAAAUUGAUUUACACACUAUUAUAUUCUUCCAAGUUUUGCAUUCUCAAUUUUAUCUCAUUUUUUAUUCUCUAAGCUCCAAUUUAUUUUUAUUGUUUGUACAAGUCGAGUUUUAUAGAAAAUUGAAAAUCUUUCUUUCAGUUUCUUUUUCUUCAAAUGAAUUCUACAAAUCUUCAUCUCAUUAUUUUUACUCCAAUUAUGAUAAGAAAAAUUUUGGCAAGGCAAAGGGAUAGCUCAUGGAUUUACAUUUUCCUAUUAUUAAGAUUAAAAAAAUUGAAUGAUAUGACAAGCAAAGUAUUGGAUUUUUCUCCUUAUUGUUCUCUUAGAUUGCUUUCUGCAGUUUAUGAUCACCUUAUAUUCAUAAAGCUUUGUUAGAUUGGUUAUCGACUCCGGUGACACUGCUUUGAUAGGUUUUCUUGAGACUUGUUUGUGGCACUGUGCUAGGGGAUCUCCCUAAUUGUUGAUUGAGGUAUCCGACAUAGUUUUUAAUUCUUAGGAUGGGCACCAAUGUGGUGCCUUUCCUGCUACACUCCGACAAUUAAGUCGAUAAAUACUAAAGCCAAGAACUAAAGGAGUGCUGUUGCGUUUUUACUAUCGCAAAUGUAGAUAUCGAAUAAAUAGUAAGUGGACCUGUGAGUCCGGAUUGUCGUUCUCACAGGGACUACUUUAGAACUUAAUUUACUUUCUUUCUAACUACUAUUCGACAAAGCAGAUAAUGAUUUGUAUGUUUUGAAUUUUAAUUUAAAUGUGUAACAAUAUGUGCUUGCACACAAAGAUUGGUUCAGAAAUUAGAUAAUAAAUAAAUAUUAGGGCAGAAUAAUUUCACCUGUCGGUUACAUCUAAAUCUUAAAUCAAGAUUCACAAUCUAAUGUAGUGUUUGGUUGAAUUCUCCUAUUGUAUUCAAUUUACCCCUCUCGAGUUCUCAUUGGGUCUAUUUAACUAAUUCAAUUCCAAAUCUCUAUGCGAAUCAAGCUUAGUUAAACGAAUUCUUUGUUCUAGAAAUUCACUUGUGAUCGCAAUAAUUAGUAUAUGUAUUUUUACACGUUAUAUCAAUUUACCGAAUUUACUAUAUGAUCUAAAUCCUAAACCCAUCUCUCGUUUUGUAAAAGAUUCUCAAAAUCAUCAAAUUAGUGACCAAGUAAUUUAAUGCAUCGAACUCAUAGUGAAAUCAACACAUGAAAAAAAUAAAGAACACGAAUCUUAAUUAAAAAACAUAAAGGAUCCCUAGAAGGUUACAUUAUUCGCCCUAACAAAAAUUUUAGCUACUCAUAAUGAAAGAGAAAAAACAAUAAAUUAUCAUAGAAUACAUCACCGGAUUUUUAGUAUAUAUGUAGAAGAAAAAUUCAAUCUUGCACCAAAAUCAUCUUUCUCUUCCAAUCAAUCCUUCAAAUGAUGCAUUGCUUGUUGUUUUCAUCCCUUGAAUUGCUUCUUUAAAUCUUAAAAUGUGUUUCUUGCCCCCCAUUGUGUGCCAAAUCCCCUUGAAAGCAUGAAAAUUUUGUAUUUAUAAUUGUCCUCUCGUGCGUAGAAAAUAGGGUUUUUAUAGACUUCAAAACGGGUCAAAAUUUAUGCCCUAGUUACUCCGCGGUGACGCAGCGGUGCCCAAUGUGCGGCGUUGUAGCAUCGCGCUAUUUUUUGUUGGAAGCUUGUUUCUCUUGGCGCUGCAGCGUCCAGAGCAUGGCGUCACAGCUCGUGGUGCCAAACCUAUCUCUAGCUUCUUUUUUCCGUGGCGCUUUACCGCCACUAUUUCAGUGUCGAAACGUCACUCGUCCAAUCUGUAUUGUGCUUCGCCUCCUUUGCCCUUUUAUCCAAAAUUUCUUUUCGAUCCAUGCCAAUAACUUUAUUUGAUGAAUUUUUUCCAUUUCUUUCACCAUCUCGACAAUCCUAUAAAAGAACACUAAUAAACACAUAAAAAAUGUUCAAUACUCGCAAAAUCUAGCUUACAAUCAAGUUAAAAAUAACAUAAACUCAUGAUUAAAUCACACUCAUCUAGUGCCUAGCCACUUGCUAAUCUAAUUUGCUAUUCCUACUUGUUCGAGAGGUUUGUGGUCAAUCAAACUUGAUUUACUAUGAUACCAAAUAUAACUUUUUCUUUGAGCCUUAACUUGGUUAUCUUGUUUUUUCCCUUUACAUGGACAUCCUUUUCAAUGUUCAAACUGUUUUUGUCCAAUUACAUGUAUUAAACAUUCAAUUCACCUACAUGUUUACAUUGUAGCUUUUGGUUGUCAUUGGCUGCUAUGAAUAUCUUUGGAUUUGGCCUCAGACGUAGUUCCUACUUAUAAAAUUUGAGAUGUUCUUACUCCUAAAAGUUCUCUGACUCUAUUUUUAUCUAGGAUUGCAUCUCAGAGAACCAAGUUUCAAUCAUAUACCUAUAGCUGGUAAGAUUCUGCUUCCUUUUUUAAUAGAACAUCCUUCAUCACAUCCUGUGUGAUUAAUACAGCCUCAGUCACAUGCAUCUUUCUUUAUUCGUCUCUUGUUACUGUAAUAAUAUGUCGGCCCUCUGGUGGACAGAAAUUGGGUUAUGUUGCAGCCAAAAUCUGUCAAUGGGUGCCAUUUCAAUUGACCUUGGCGGUCUUGAAAAAUAAUGUGCCUGCAAAACAUACAUUUGACUGGAAAAAAUAGGAGCUUGUAUUUUGUAAGUGAAUUUGAUGGAGAGGAGUGGUAAAUCCGUUAUCUCUUAAUGGAUAAGUUUAUCUUCUUAUUUGGGUGAGAUAGUGAGAAGCCAUAUUUUAUUAUAACAGGUUGCAAGUGCACAAUAUCUUGAAUCUUUUUAUUCUACCACAGCCACUAUUAGUCUAUCCACCAUAGUUUUCGUGUGUGCCUAUUGUUUAUUGGGUUUUGUUAAGGUGCUCUAGAAAAUAAGUUACUAUUAGAUAUCUAAGCCCUGUUGAUGUUUGUUUAAUAACUCUUUUAAUAGCGCACUGGGAGGUGAGGGUUCAGAGGGUUCAGUUGUAGUGCCUCAUGGCCUACCAUUCUAUUAAAUAUGCUGAGGGAAAAAAAUUCAAAUUAUCGCUUAAAAGAUCGACCUUUUUAAGUGUAGUUUAAGCACUUAUAUGUUGAUUAUUGUUUUUACAUUUAGAAUUGUGAGAUUUUACCCUUAAUAUAUCCAACAAGAUGGCAGCUUGUUUGGAUUCAUCAUUCCUGGAAUCCAAAUGUCACUCUUUUGAGCUUUUUAAACUGUGAUUUUAUCGAGUCGUGAGUUCCAUCUUAAAAUAUCAAUAUUUUCACGAGAAAUAUCUUAAUCCUUAUAUGUUGAUUGUUUUUUUAUAUUUAGGUUUUGUGGGAGCUUACCUUCACAUCGAGGAAUUGAUCAUAAAUUUUUUCAAGCUGAAGUAUUGGAGAUGAUGUAGCUAUUUAAGGUAAUCUUUUCACAUUUGUAAUGUAGAACCGCUACUAAACAAUUUGUUUAUAGUUAUAUAUCUAGAAUUAGUUACAUGAAGUUUAUAUUACCCUUCUACUUUAUGCUUAAACAUUGCAAGCGCUGUUGGUAAAGUAUGAACAAAUUAUUACAUUGGCUAGACAUGAGUAGAUAAUAUUUUUAUAAAGGGAGUUAGACUGACAUGCAUAGUAGGUUAAAAUUUUCGGAACACAAAUCACCAAGUGAUGUUAAGGUUAGGCUCCAAACUUAGCCAUGUGGCACAAUAUGGCGAAAUAUUAGUGGUUGGCUCUCAAGACAGUAGUACUCACAUAAGGUGGUGACCAUUCAUGUAAUGGAGAGUUGGGCAUGAUGGAACCUGCGAUUCAUCUUGGUUUGAAGAAGAGAGACAUAUAGAUUAAUGGUUGAUGAGGGUAGAUAUGAUGUGGUCUUUCAUUCUGAGGAGGGAUUUUUGUGAUAGUGAGAACAAAAUAUCACGUUGGCUAGACAUGGAAUGGAUAAUUUUACGAGGAAGUUGAGCUAAUCCUUCUAAUCGGUUAACCUUUGAGAUGGAAUCUCACUACUGAACAAUAGUUCAUGAUUGAAUAAUUAUUGUAUAUUCGCUUUUUUUUGUAUUCUAUUUUUUCUUCCAUUCCUUUGUGUAUAAAAAAGGAGCUAAAAAGGUGAAAGAAUGGGAAAAUACAGAGAGAAUCGGACUCUCUUUUCUUUUGUGUUCUGUAAAAAACUGAUUGAUGUUUGUACAUUGAUUCUGUUUAUAGAAUUAGCUAUCAAAUUGCCAACUACAACUAACUGCUAACUAAUAGCUGUAACUAUUUAUUCCAGCUCAUCUUUUCUAACUAACUUCAACUGCCUGUAACUACAGCUUCAACUUUAGUUUUUGUUUCAGCUUCAGCCACCGAUUUUGCUUCAACAAGUUGUUGAGUUGUAAUAUCACCCUUCAAGAUGGACUUGUGCAAAUCAAUGAUUCCCAUCUUGUUAAGUAAGAAAGAAAACUGAUCUGCUCCCAAAGCUUUAGUCAGAAUAUCUGCCAGUUGGCGUUUAGAGGAAACAUAAACUGUUUUAAUCAACCCCUUCUGUAAUUUUUCUCUCACAAUGUGACAAUCUAUAUCUAUAUGUUUCGUCCUCUCAUGGAAAACUGGAUUGGAGGCUACAGGCAAGGCUGCUUUAUUGUCACAAUACAUUAAUGCAGGCUUUAAAUGGUCCACACCAUGGUCAUUGAGUAUUCUAAUAGUCAAAUCACUUCACAGCAGGUGGUAGCCAUUGCUCUAUAUUCGGCUUCAGCUGAUGACCUUGACACUGUUGUUUGCUUUUUAGAUUUCCAUGAAAUCAACGCUUCUACAAGAAAAACACAGUACCAUAUUACAGAUUGCCUGCUAUCUAUACAUCCUGCCCAGUUUGCAUCGCAAAAAGCCUUUAAUUGCAGAUCAAAUGUGCUUGACAGAAAAAUUCCUUGUGUUGGUGUAUGCUUAAUAUAUCUCAGAAUUCUGUGCACUGCAUCCAAGUGAGGCUUUCUUGGUGCUUGCAUAAACUGGCUAAGUGUCUGAACAACAAAUGCGAAAUCAGGUCUCGUGAUGGUUAGGUAUAUUAGCCUACCAAUUAGUCUUCGAUAUUCUGUAGGAUUGGCUAAUAACUGCCCCUCCUCACGAGACAAUUUCAAAUUUUGUUCCAUAGGAAAAUUGGAAUGACCAGCUCCAGUAAGACUCGAAUCUUGCAGUACAUCAAGUGCAUGCUUGCUUUGUGAAAUAGAAAAUCCUGCAGAAGAUCGAGCAAUUUUCAAGCCUAGAAAAUACUAGAUAGUGUGCCAAGAUUUUUAAUUUUAGAAGUUGAGUGCAGAUAGACUUUGAGAGCAUCAAUGCAAACCAGAUCGGGACUUGCAACAACUAUGUCAUCUACAUAAACUAGCAACACAUGAAUGUGGUAGAGUUUUGUAAAGCGAAUACGGUAUGAUCAUGUUGGGACUGAGUAAAACCAUAACUUAGGACACUUUGUGAGUAAAUUUGAGAUUCCACUAUCUAGAUACCUGCCGUAGGCCGUAAAGUGACCUUUCAAGUCUACAAACUGAAUUAGGAAGAAAUGAAGAGUAACCAGGUGGUAGAUUCAUGAAGACUUUCUCAUCUAAUUUACCAUUUAAAAAAGCACUAUCAACAUCGAGCUGAUGCACAUGCCAAUUUCAAGCAGUAGAGACAGCUAGUAAUGUUCUCACAGUUACUAGCUUGGCAAAAGGUGAAAAAGUGAUUGAAAAAUCCAACCUGUCAAUUUGAGUGUAGCCUUAGCAUAUAACGUUCCACUGUCCCAUUAGAUUGAAUUAGAUCUUAUAUAUCCAUCGACAACCAACAGAUUUCUUACCAGGAGGUAAGGUAAUUAAUUCCCAAGUCUGAUUCGCUUCAAGGGUGUCUAUCUCAACUUGCAUAGCCUUUCUCCAAUGCUCAAAUUUUACAGCUUGUUAGUAGUGUGUGGGCUCAAAGGUCGUAGAAACUGAGAGGCUAAAUGAUGCGGACAUCAUCCUCAUUUUAUCUUUUAGUUAUUUAUUUUGGGCUUAUGUCUUUUACUUAUUUAUUUUGGGCUUAUGUCUCAUUAGGCUUGUAUAUGGGUUUGGCCCAAGCCCCCAAGUUAUUGUUUUGUUAUUUAUGUUAUUGUGAUUGGGAUUGAAAGUUAGUAGAUGAUGAAUGAAUGAAUUGUUGCCUUCCACUCCUCUGUCUUCUCUCUUCCCCCUCUUUCUUCUUUCACGUUUUCCCUUCUCUUUCCCCGGCUUCUUCCUCUUCUGCUGUUUCUUCCUACAUCAGAUUUUGGUAUCAGAGCUAAUGCUUGGGAACUACUUUAUCUACACAGACAAUUUCUGUAUACACACCAAUCUGCCGCACUGUCCACCAUUCAUGCCUCAGCGUCCAACAACAAAUCCGACUUGCAAAUAGUUUCCUCACCAUCUUUUCCACCGCCACCAAGUUCUCUAAAUCUGUAACAAAUCUAGGCAGCCUCCUAACAUAACAAAUCCAUCCCUGCAAACCACCCUAGAAAAACCAGACACCCCCAAAUACAUGCACAACAUCCCAAUCAAACAAGGUAACCAUUAAACCACCACAUACAAAAUAACCGCCCACAAUCAUUUAAAUCGUAAUAACCCACCUCACAGUCAACCCCCAAAAGCUCGUUUUCACAAACAAUAACCACCUCUCAAGCAAUGAUUCGACCCCAAGCUUCCGAACAACGCCCAACAGCCUAUUCCUCAUAAGUCCAUCAUCUAAAACCGUCGCCUUUCAAUAACCCACCACCAUACGAUUAUCUCAUACAGUUAGCCCAUCCUCCGAAUUAUCACCUCACAAUUUAUACUCACGAAGCCACCAAAUCAACAGCCCAUUAAGCUCUAAUCAUACAAUACCCAUAAUCCAAACUCAAUCGCGAAUUCACCGUCGAAGAAGCCGGCCACUGCUGCUAGAAAUCGGCCCUCUAUUGACGCAGGAACCAUUCCUUUCCAUAGCCGAUGCACAAUCCACAUUGCAGAUCACCACUCUAGUCACCAACCCAUCGCACCGACUGAAUCACACAAAAAAAACUGACACCAACCGCUGGUCACCUUCACAGCGACGAAGCCUAUAAUCACUGCAGCCUCCAUUCAACCCCAGAUCUCCUGCCGAUUGCUGAAUGCAGAACUGCCGAGCGGUUUAGACAGUGGAAGUGGGUAUUUAAUUCAAUUGGACACAGUAGACUAAUUAGUAGUUUUGGGUAUCUUAUUAAUGUUUGGGCCUUGAAUUGUAACAGUUUUGCUUAUCUGAUUUUUAAGUUAAAAAAAAAAUAAAAAAAAGAGUUAUUUUUCUAACAUCGUUUUUCAGGUGCCUCUUUCAUUCCAGUUGAUUGGACGCAGCUUCUUCGAAUGAACGAAAGGAAAGUCAUUGUUUAAAUUUAUCCUCAGUUAUAUUGCUGUUUAUCUUGAAUUGCAUCGAUUAACUUUUGUGCUGUAGUCUUUACAUAAAACUCACAUGACUAGACCCUAUAUCUGUUAACUCUUCGACUUGUUAUAUUUUCGCAUUCCUCCCAUUUAUUUUACGUGAUUGUGUCCUUGACUAGUGUUUGACCACUGCUUUAUUAUUUUGCAUAGACUAGCAGUAUCAGCUUGACACAUUUGAAUUUUCAUAAUUUCAAAAAAAUAAAUAAAUAAAUAAAAAUAAUAAAUAAAUAAAAUAAUUUAAAUGCUGAAGUUGUUAUUUUCAUUUCUUGAACCAGUUGUUUAUUGAUCUCGUCAAUCAUCGCAUUAGGUUAGCGUUACGUUGCAUGCAUUUGCGUAGUGGUCGUUUUGUCAUACCAAAUUCCAAUACUGUGACCAUGGACCCAUCUCAAUUUGAUGCCCUUACUCGACAAUUAGCUCAACUACAGGCUCAAUUAACAACCGUCCAAACCGAGGUGACUACUACUCGUGAGGAGAGUAGAGAACUACCUGCUAGGGCGAACAAUUUAGAGCAAACCUCCCCCUCAACCGACGCUGAUAACUAUGAAGCGUCUCAUAACAUACCCUAUCGUUGUCGACAUGGUGGUCGACAGCGUGUUCGUCGUGAACGAAGGAAUGGGGGACAGGAGCGCAUUCAUGAACGAGGCCAUGACCCUUAUGGAACUCAUUCACCUCCUCACUAUGAGGAGUGUUACUUUCGAAACAUUAAAUUAGACGCUCCUACUUUCAAUGGCUGUUAGAUCUUAGAGUUUUUACACAGUGGGUUAGAGACAUGGAUCGCUUCUUUUCAUGGUAUGGAGUACCGGAGGAUCGAAGAGUUCAAUUUGCCAGUUUGAAAUUAACUGGUACUGCCCAAUUCUUUUGGGAAAGCGUUGAGAACCUUUUUGAAAGGCGUCAUGCACCUCCCGUUGGAGGUUGGGGGGAAUGAAGCGCCGCCUUCAAGAGAAGUAUUUGCCCCAUUCUUAUAGGAGCAAUUUGUUGAACCAAUGGAAUACCCUCACACAAGGAAACCGUCCAGUGACUGACUAUGUUACUCAAUUUGAUGAGUUCCGAAUGCGAUGCCACAUCGUCGAGGAUGAAGCUAUGACUUUAAUUAGGUUCAGACAAGGCCUACGAGAUGAUUUUCGGCGUGAGCUUGUCCUUCGAGGUGUCACCACUCUCGAUCACGCUUAUUCCUUAGUUCGAGAUUACGAGUCAAUUACUAAAACUGCGUAUGGAAGGCGUAGUGAUAAUCGUCCAUCCAUCUCAUCGGCACCACCUCCUCCCACCAAAUCUCUUCUUGGACCCUGGUGCCUCGAAUGAAGCGCCUAUAAAAAGUUGCUAAUCCAUGAAAGCUCUGUACUUCUCGCACGGUUUUAGGAGUUGGCCACACGCGUAUUGCUUUCACCUUUGCCUCAUCAACUUGAAUACCAUAUUUUCCCACCAUAAAACCAAGAAAUAAAAGUUGGUCGGUCAUAAAGUUGCACUUUUUGAGAUUAAUAUACAAUUUAUUUUCCUGAAGGGCUGAAAAAACUUCUGUAAGAUGUGCUAAGUGCUCAUCUUCAUUUUUGCUGUAAAUAAGAAUGUCAUAAAAAUAAACCACCACAAAUUUUCCCACAAAUGGACGAAGAACUUGGUUCAUCAAUCGCAUAAAUGUGCUCGGUGCGUUUGAUAGCCCAAAUAACAUCACUAACCACUCGUAGAGACCAUCUUUUGUUUUAAAAGCUGUUUUCCACUCAUCGCUAGGGCGUAUACGGAUUUGAUGAUAGCCACUCCUUAAAUCAAGCUUGGUAAAUAUCACUGCACCUUCCAACCUAUCGAGCAUAUCAUUGAGACGCGGGAUGGGAAAGCGAUACUUGAUUGUUAUUUUAUUAAUGGCACGACUGUCUAUACAUAUUCGCCAACUGCCAUCCUUCUUUGGAAUGAGUAAAGCAGGAACUGCACAAGGACUCAGACUUUCGCGGAUUAACCCCUUAUCAAGUAAUUCAUUAACCUGUCGCUGCAACUCUUUGUGUUCUGCUGGGCUCAUGCGAUAAUGUGGCAAGUUAGGUAAACUAGCUCCAGGUGCCAAAUCAAUAUGAUGUUGGAUAUUUCGCUUCGGGGGCAACUCGUUUGGUAACUCGUCGAGUGCUAUUUCAGCAAAAUCAGCAAGUACUUUUUGAACUUUGGUGGGAAUUUGUAUAGUUACUUCUGAUGGACCUUUAACAACCAAGGCCAAUACUGUGUGAGGCUCUUUUACUUAUUCCAAGAAUUCUGGGCUUGAGAUGUUGGUAAAAAGUGGUUUCUCUUCCUUGAUGGCAAGAUUGGUUUCCACAGGUUGAGAUUGUGGUACCAAAACGAUCUUCCUAUUUAACCACCAAAAUAUGAAAGUAUUAUCUCGUCCUUUAUAAGUGGCAUCAACAUCAUAGUGCCAUGGACGACCCAAUAAAAUGUGACAAGCAUCCAUAUCCACCACAUCACAUAUAAUUUCAUCCUUGUAAUAUUUUCCAAUUGACAAAGAAACCUUACAAAUCUCUAAAACUUGAAUUUUCAGGCCCCUUUUAAUCCAUGCAAUCUUGUAUGGCGAAGGGUGUCUCUCGGUCUUCAGAUUUAGAGCCUUUACCACUGCUUUCGAAAUGACAUUCUCACUGCUACCGCUGUCCAUGAUCACAUUGCAUACCUUAUUACGAACAGUGCAUCGAGUCCUGAAGAUCUUGUGUCGUUGCGAGGUAUCUAGCCUUUUUGGAGCAAGCAAAAGGCGUUGGAUAAUGCAUGCCAAUUCUUCCCCUGUAUCUGCAUUUGCAACAUCACCACCUUCAUAAUCAUUGUCUUCAAGAUUUUGCUCUUCCCCACUGUCGUCUUCUUCUGCAAAGUUAAUAGAUCGUCUGUCUGGACAGCUAUUUGAAAGAUAACCUGGUUGAUUGCACCGGAAGCACUUUCCCAGAUUAGGACAUGCAUAAGGGUCAUUAUUGGCUCGUGACUGUAUCUGAUUUCUGCCUUGGGUGUUAGAUCGAACAGGAGCAGAAGUUCCUCUUUGAUUUUGUGUUGAAUUUUGGACUAGACUAGCAUCCUUGUGGUUAUUGUUGUUGUUAUUUGAGGUUGUUGCACCCUUUGGAGUAGUAUAAGUUUCUUGAAUUGGUCGUAGAAAAUUUCCUGGAGUACGGGCUGUAGUUCUAUUCAUCUGAUUUUCCACUUUCAUUGCUAAAUUGAUUGCAUCUGUCAUGGUCCAAAUCUCUUGAAGGGCCGGUCGAUCUUGAAUGACUAAUUUCAAGCCUCCUAUAUAACGAGCAAUUAAUUGAGCUUCAGUUUCAGACAAAUUAACUCGAGCAUUUAAUCGAUAGAAUUCCUCUGUAUAUUCAUUUACUGUCCUGUUAUUCUGUCGACAAUUCUGAUACUGCUGGUACAAAAAUUGUUCAUAAUCCGGAGGAAGGAAUCGCCUUUGCAACAAGCGUUUCAUCUUGGGCCAGGUUUGCACAAGUUGCUUUCCUUGUCUUUGACGAUUAAAUUGUAAUUGUUCCCACCAUACAAAGGCUCCACCUUUUAAUUUGUACGCUACUUGUUUAACUUGACUUUGUUCCGAAAUAUUUAAAUAGUCGAAAAAAUUUUCAACAGUGUGGAUCCAAUCCAAAAAAUCUUCAAUAUUUAAUCGACCGUCAAAACUUGACAAGUCCAUCUUCAUCUUGAAUUCUUGAACAUUGGGACCUCUAUUGUUAGCCCUUGGUCGAAAAUUUUCUUCUUCUUCGGAUGAAUAAUUGAACCCACGUGGCCAUCUUUGUUGAAGACCCCUAUCUCUUGGUUGCCGAACAAAAUUAAGUCCUCGAUCAAAAUUACCUCUCCGGUCAAAAUUAAUGCCUUGGUCAAAAUUGUUGGCUUGGUCAAAAUUGAUUCCUCUUCCAUAAUCAUCCAACCCGUCACGCUAGUUUCCAACAUUGCGCCCAGUUUGACGAGGUUGUCCACCGGUUCCAGCAAACUCUCCCACUCCUUCGCCCAAAACUUCUCGACGGUGUUUGCCGUCAUCACUCCGGUCAAGGGGCCAUUUGUUUCGCCUUUCAUAAACCUGUAAGGGUACGGGGAUUGCUUCGCGAAAGUCGCGAUCUGCAACCAUAUUUCUGCGCACACCACGCCCAUCGGACCCUAGUCCAUCACGCCUUGCGCCUCUUCUGCAUAUCACUGGUCCUCCUCGCUGCCGGCGUGGGUUAUUAAUGUAACGCCCCGAAUUCUAAUAACCCGAAACGUUACGAAACAUGAAUAUACCUUGAAAUAAACAGUUUUAAUAUAACGAGAAAUUCUGUAAAAGAUUGAAUAACAUUUAAUCAAAAGAUAAAUUUAAAUAUGCGGAACGUUUGAAAACAUAUCAUUCAUCCAAAAAUUAUUAGAACAGUUAAAACUAAUUGAAAAUUUAUAAUGCACUCACAAUUGGGUCAAAAAUGAAUAACUCAUUAUUAGUUCUAGUGUUUUUGAAAAUUAAAAUACUUCAUGACGAGGAUCCGUUGGUCCAAUAGCAAAUCCAUCCACCGCCGUCCAACAUACUAAUUAUUACCUGAAAAUUGUAAAUAAGGGGAUGAGUAUAACGAAUUAUACUCAAUGAGAUACUUGCUACUCCACAUUCAAGUCAAACAUGAAAUUACAAAUAAAUUAUCUUACCAACAUAACAUGAGAAUUAUCACACCAUGUCAAAUUAUAAUUCUAGCAAGCGCUGCAAAAUAACGUGAAGGCUAAAUUGUGCCUUAAAAUGUAUCAUGAUUUCUCCCGAAGGAGCCUAAAUUGAAGUAAUUAAAUUCAUAAUAACGUAUUUGAAAAGAUGUGGAAAAAUCACUAAUAGCAAUGAGUAUCCCACCCUUUGAAGAUGAAAGUGGAGAAUAAAAUUACGGAAAUGUGAUUGCAAUUCCAAAGCCUUAAAAAAUCUAAAUAAUAUAGAGGAAUAUUUUAAAGAGGGAGAGGUAAUGGACGUGUAGUAGAAUGUGGUUUUAGUGCUCUAUUUAUACUGUUGAAAUCGGGUAAUCACGUGGGGGAAGUGGAAUUUCAGCCAUAUUUAAAUUCGUAUUUCAUGCAAUCUUCUGAGAAAUUGAUACAUAAUUCCCGAUUGAUAUAGUAUGACUGGAGAUUAAUUAUUGGUUUUCUGCCAAUUUCUAUAUCAAUUAUAAUUACAACAAGGAAAUGAUAGGUAUUACACUGCAUGACUUUUACACGUGGACGGGGAAAACGAAUCUGCCUCCUAUUUGCAUAAUUUACUCUAAUACAAACAUCUUAAAUUGUCAAUCUCCUAAUGGCCGAAAAUUAUAAAAUGUAUGCUUAUUAAUUAAAUUAGAAUUUCAGUCCAAUCUUUCCAAAAUUUGUUCCAAUUAGGAGACACAAUGAUUACUAAUUAUAUGGACACGUGAAAGUUGUAAUGAAAUGCAUGGGUUACUCAUGUACUAAAGUCUAACAUCAAAUAAUUCAAAUUCCUUUGAUUUGCAUUUAACUAAAUUUGUAAGCAGGAAUUACGUUUUAAUUGAUUACCUCUUAAUUAAAAAAUGUAUAAUUAUUAAUACUUAACAUAAAGACUUUGUUUAACCAAAACUUAAAAUUCUAAUUUAUUUAGCUAAACUAGUGGUGGCAGUCAACUGGCGAAAAAUCUAAUCCUUUAAAACUCUUAUAACCAUAAUAUUCUUUAGACGGCUAAAACUCGGGUUUAACUUGACCAAAUUAAAUUUUUCUUGAGUCCAUAAUUCGCCAUUUAUUAUGAGCUUCAAAAUGAACCCAAUAUUGGUAGAGUAAUUCUAACUCCUUCAAUAGUUAACUAUUUGGCCCAUUUAAUAAAGUAUAAAAUCAUUUGAUAUUUUUUUUUUUUCAAUUUGGUCCCUCAACUAAUAAGAUAACUAUAGAGAUAAUCAAUUAACUUGCAUAAGAACUUAACCAAACAUUGCAUUCCUAUUAAAUGACAAAUAAAAAUAUAUGCGAAUUUAAGUUAAAAAUUCGGGAUUCUACAACUAACAUGGGGUUGGCGUCGUUUACCCAAGCCUGGUUCAUCGUGAAGGUGGACUACUGAGUGUGAAUCCAUGCCUGCUGCAACCCUUUGAUUUCUUACAUCCAGGUGAACACCUUCUUCCUUGCUGUAAUCUGAUUCUUCUCCUUGUUGUCGGAUUUCUGUCCAAUUUGAUUGUUUCUCCUUGGGUUCGAGUCUGUACUUCACAGUUAACGCAGUCACCAUCUGCGUGAGAUUGCGAAGAGCCUCGUCAAUCCCCUCGAUUCGUUGUUCGAGUUUGUCGAGCCUCCGUUCAUCGUCGAUUGUCCGACUACCUCCAGUACCUUCGUCGGCCAUCGGAUUAAGGUGAAUUCCUUGCUCUGAUACCAAUUUUGGUGGGGAAACGUGUUUGAAUUCUUGUAAUAAGAAUUAUAAUGAAAGAAAUAUGAAACGAUAUAGGAAUAAUUUGCUUUAUUGAUUGAGCCCCUGUUUGAUCCCCAUUAAAUUACAUUCCAUUACAUUCUAUUUUUCUCUCUCCUAUUUUCAACCACACAAUCUUCCAUAAAAUAAUAUUACACGUAAAUCGAAAAAUUUUUCUUUUUUUUCAACCACUCAUUUUUUCAACAAAACACUAUUCCUCCCAUUCUCAUUACCAAAAACGGGGGCUGAAUAAUGAAUAAUUGAUUGAAAAUUGUACAAUAGCUUCUAUAUUUAUAGGCAGAUUAUUCCUAUUCCUAACAAUACUAGGAAAUUGAAAUAAGGAAACUAGUGAACUAAUAAAACUUUAUUCUAAUUAAAACUCUCAAUAAAAUAAAAGUCCUAACACAAGAAAAGAAACUCUUAGAAAAUAUAAAAUAUAAUUGUAGUAGGAAUCCUAUUGUAGUUGUACUACAUCAGACCCCCACCGUCUAACGCACUUCCUGCUUUAGACAAUAAAGGUAAAGCUCCGAAAACUUCAAGAACCUCUUCUCGUUUGCAAUGCUUCAAUUGUAAGGGCUUUGGCCACAUCUCCUCUAGAUGUCCGAGCUGAGCCUUAGUUAUUGACGAGCGAAAGGAUGUCGUUGAUGAGCCUUUAGAAGAUCAAGUCUAUGAGUCUAACUUUGAAGAGUUUGACAAUUUGGGUGAUAAUGAGGAUACCUGCUUAGGUUGCUUUCAUACCCUUCAUGUAGGUCUAGGUCCUACUUAUCUGGCCCCUGACACAUCUCGGUUAAGUGUUGUACGUUGUACCCUUAUCCAACCUAAGGAUGUCGAUGAUUGGCGCCGUCAUGCUAUUUUUCAUACUUAUAUCAAGAUCAACAAUAAAGGUUGUAAGAUUAUUGUUGAUAGUGGGAGCUGUAUUAACACGGUCUCUGUGACCACAGUAUCCCGUCUUGGAUUGAAGUCAGUCCCGCACCCCCAAUCAUAUAGCGUCUCCUGGGUUGACACUUCUUCUAUAGCUGUGAAAGAGCAUUGUCUGGUGCCUAUCCAAUUUCUUGGGUAUAAGGAUCAUAUAUGGUGUGACGUUAUCCCUAUGGAUGUUGGGCAUGUCAUUCUUGGUCGACCUUGGUUGUUCGAUCUGGAUGUAACUAUCCAUGGGCGAUCAAAUUCAUGUUCUUUUGUAUUUAAUGGAAAGAAGAUUCACCUUAAUCCUUUAUCACCAAAAUCUGUUGACUUACACCAAGCCAAAAAAAUUGUCGAGAGGAAAGGAUUACAUGUGAUUAGCCCGGCAGAAAUUGAACGGACAAUCGUAAAUGACUCAAUCGUAUUUGUUGUGAUUGUUAUGGAAGUCCCGUUUGAUCCCCCAAUAGCGACCCCUACUGAAGCCCAAUCACUCCUUCAGGAAUUUAAGGAUGUAUUUCCUGACGACCUCCCUGAUCUACUGCCUACCUUACGGGAUAUUCAACAUGCUAUAGAUCUGGUUCCAGGUUCGUCUCUCCCAAACUUGCCUCACUAUAGAAUGAAUCCUGCUGAACAUGCCGAGCUCCAGAGACAAGUGGGUGAACUCUUUCACAAAGGCUUCAUCCGUGAAAGUUUAAGCCCUGGUGCAGUGCCCGCCCUCAUGACACCUAAGAAGAAUGGUUCUUGGAAGAUUUGCGUUGAUAGUCGCGCUAUCAAUAAAAUCACUGUCAAGUAUCGUUUUCCCAUCCCUCGACUUGAUGAUAUGCUAGAUAUGAUGGUCGAUGCCACAAUCUUUUCCAAAAUCGAUUUGAAGAGUGGGUAUCAUCAGAUUUGGAUCCGCCCAGGAGACGAGUGGAAAACUGCGUUUAAAACGAAAGAUGGCCUAUACGAGUGGUUGGUAAUGCCUUUUGGACUAACCAAUGCUCCAAGUACUUUUAUGAGGGUGAUGACACAGGCCCUUCGGCCUUUCAUGGGCAAAUUCAUUGUUGUAUACGACAUCCUCGUGUACAGCAAAACAAGGGAACAACAUCGAGAUCAUCUCACGCAAGUUUGCUCUACAUUGCGUGCAACGAGCUUGUAUGCCAAUGUGAAGAAAUGUUCUUUCUUCACGGAUACAAUUGUGUUUCUCGGAUUUGUUGUUUCCGCUACGGGAGUUUCUGCUGAUUCUACAAAGAUUCGGGCAAUUGUUGAGUGGCCAGAUCCCAAGAAUAUACAUGAUAUUAGGAGUUUUCAUGGUUUAGCUACCUUUUAUCGUCGUUUCAUCAAGAGAUUUAGUACGAUCAUGGCUCCUAUCACAAAGUGUAUGAAGAGAGGAGAAUUUCAUUGGACGCGGGAAACGGCUAAGGCCUUUCAGUUAAUCAAAAGGCAAAUGACAGAGGCUCCUGUCAUGCGACUCCCAGAUUUUUCCAAAGUUUUUGAGGUCAAAUGUGAUGCGUCAAGGGUAGGAAUAGGUGGAGUCUUGAGUCAAGAACGCCAUCCUAUUGCUUAUUGUAGUGAGAAAUUAAAUGAUGCCAAGCAACGGUACUCGACUUAUGAUAAGGAGUUAUACGCAGUUGUACAAGCCUUGCGCUAUUGGCGUCAUUACUUAUUACCCCACGAAUUUGUCCUCUUUUCUAACUAUGAGGCUCUUCGUUUCCUUAAUUCCCAGAGACGAUUGAAUUCUCGGCAUGGCCGCUGGAUCGAAUAUUUACAAGCCUAUUCUUUUGUCUUAAAGCAUAAGAAGGGUGUUGAAAAUCAAGCUGCUGACGCUUUAAGCCGUCGCAUCUCCUUCUUGUCCGUCAUGAGUGUUAAGGUUCUAGGGUUUGAAAGACUUAAGGAAGAGUACGAGUUAUGUCCCGAUUUCAGGGACAUUUUUCUUGCUUUGCAUAAUGGGGAGUUGGACACCACUGAUGGUUUCCGUUUGGAGGAGGGCUAUCUUUUUAGAUCCAAUAAGUUGUGCAUCCCCAGGAUUUCAGUGCGAGACUUUAUAGUGUGGGAAAGUCAUGCUGGUGGGUUGGCUGGACAUUUUGGGCGUGAUAAGACCAUAGAGGAAAUUGAACAUCAAUUCUAUUGGCUCAGUUUAAAGACCGACGUGGCCAAGAUUGUCGGCACAUGUAACACCUGUCAACGAUCUAAGCACCAAAGGCAGAACACAAGCCUCUACACUCCUCUCCCCGUCCCUAGUUGUCCUUGGUAAGACGUUAGUAUGGAUUUCGUGCUAGGGUUGCCAUGUACUCUAAAGAAACACGACUCCAUUUUUGUUGUCGUAGAUCCCUUCUCAAAAAUGGCACACUUUAUUUCCUGUAGCAAGACUUCCGAUGCAUCUAAGGUUGCUAAGUUAUACUUCCAUGAGAUCGUCAAGCUGUAUGGCCUCCCUAAGACCAUUGUCUCUGAUAGGGAUGUUCGUUUCACUAGCCAUUUUUGGCGAACCCUAUGGAGUAUGGUUGGCACUAAACUAAAAUUCUCUACUGCAUAUCACCCACAAACGGACGGUCAAACUGAGGUUGUUAACCGCAGUCUUGGUAAUCUAUUAAGAUGUUUAGUCCAGGAAAAUCUUAGGAAUUGGGACUUAAUUCUUCCUACUGCCCAACUUGCAUAUAACAGUUCAGUGAAUCGGUCUAUAGGUAUGAGUCCUUUUGAGAUUGUUCAUGGUUUUAAGUCUAGGAAGCCGUUAGACCUUAUUCCUAUGUCUCCACAUGCUAGUGUGUCUGUGUCAGUUGAGUCUUUUGCACAACAUCUGCGUGACUUGCAUAUUGAGAUCAAUAAACAGCUAGAAGCGAGUAAUGCAUUAUAUAAACUUCGAGCUGAUUUGCACAAACGCCAUGUUGAAUUUAAUGUUGGGGAUUAUGUUAUGAUUCGAAUUAGACCGGAACGGCGUCCAUCUGGGCCUGCUUCUAAAUUGCAAACUCGUAGUGCUGGUCCUUUUAAAAAUUUAAAGCGUGUUGGUCCAAAUGCUUAUGUCAUUGACUUACCAUCACAUUUUGGCUACCACCCUAUCUUUAAUGUUAAAGACUUAGUUGCUUACAAAGGUCAAUUUCACCCCGCUGAUGAUCCUUUCACACCUCCAUCUCUGGACCCUCAUCCUGAACAUGUUAUUCCUGCCCCAAUUCCACCUGCUGCAGCACAUAAAGAUAAAAUUGAUGCUAUUCUAGAUGCACAGACUAUAUUAACCAAGGAUAGAGACAUUCAGUGCUUCCUUGUUCGUUGGGAGGGCCGUCCUGAUUCUGAUUGUACUUAGAUCCCCAAAGAGACACUUCAACAGCUUGAUCCUGACUUGUUGGAGAAUUAUAGGAGUCAACAAGAUCUUCCUCUACCCGGACCACCAUCCUUGCGUGUCUAUAGAUGUCGAAAGAAGUUUGCUCAACCGAUCAGUUUGUGGCUAGGAGAUUGACAGCAGCCUUUUGUGACCUACCUCCUCGACGAGGUCGAGUUUUUCUCCCACCCCGAGAGAGUUGAUGCGGACAUCAUCCUCAUUUUAUCUUUUAGUUAUUUAUUUUGGGCUUAUGUCUUUUACUUAUUUAUUUCGGGCCUAUGUCUCAUUGGGCUUGUAUAUGUGUUUGGUCCAAGCCCCCAAGUUAUUGUUUUGUUAUUUAUGUUAUUGUAAUUGGGAUCGAAAGUUAGUAGAUGAUGAAUGAAUGAAUUGUUGCCUUCCACUCCUCUGUCUUCUCUCUCCCCCCUCUUUCUUCUCUCACGUUUUCCCUUCUCUUUCCCCGGCUUCUUCCUCUUCUGCUUUUCUCUUCUUCUGCUGUUUCUUCCUACAUCACUAAAACUUGAAAUGGAAGGUGAUAACUUGUUGUACUGUAGAGAUGUAGCUAUAUCAUAAGGAGUACUAACCUUAUUUGAACCACCUGAACACAUGGAUUGAGGAUGAGCUGAGCAAGAAAGGAGAUUGCAAUGAUACUAUUCAAGGUAACUAGAAGUGUUCCUGACUUAAGACCUGCGAGGUAUAGGUGUAGAAGAGGGCCCAUUUGAAGUAGAAAUGGAAGUAUCCAAUUCUUGAGAGGGAAGAGGUUUAGGAAAAACGAAAGGAUUGUCAUAAGAAACGGAAGAUAAAUCUUUAUAAGGGAAGAUGUGUUCAUGAAAAACUACAUCUCGAGAUAUGAAAGAGGUAUGAAGAUCAAGAUCAUAAAGUUUAUAUCCCUUGACACCAUAAGGAUAUCCAAGAAAUAUACACCUACAAGCUCGAGGAGCAAAUUUUGAACGAUUGUGAGAGAGGGUAGAGGCAAAACAUAAGCUACCAAAGACUCUAAGUGAGCAUUAAUAGGAGGUUUGGCAUAAAGGAUCUCAAAAGGAGACUUGUGUUGCAACAAGGGAGUUGGUAAACGAUUAAUCAAAUAUGCUGCAGUUAAGACAGCUUCUCCCCAAAAUUGAAGGGGUAACUUGGCUUGAAACAUUGAGCAGGUGCUGAUGUUUGCGUUCGACUACACUGUUUUGUUUAGGUGUAGCAACACAACUCUUUUGUUAAAUAAUUCCUUUUUCAGCACAAAAAUCUUGCAUAUCAAGGUUGGGAGCAUUAUCAGUGCAAAAUUGUUUUAUUUUAACUUGGAAUUGUGUUUCAACGAGAUUAUAGAACCAUUGAAUGUAUGAUCUUGAUUCAGAUUUAUAGUGCAAAAGAUAAAUCCAUGUGGAUCUAGAGAAGUCAUCCACUAAGGUGAGAAAAUACUAUGCACCAUUUAAAGAAGGAUGAGCAAAAGGCCCCCAUACAUCACAAGUACUAACUGAAACACGUGUGUAGAAAAUGUAUCACUAACAAAGAAAGGAUGCCUAUUUUGUUUAGCCAUUGGACAAAUAGUACAAAGGAAUUCUUUAGGACUAGAGAUUACUUUAGAAUUGGAGUUAACAAGACUUUUUAAACAAGUAGGAGACAAGUGACCUAGGCGAAAAUGCCAAAGAUUAAAACAACUUGAAUUUGCAGAGGAAGUAGCACAUGUAGGAGACUGUAGGAAACCUUGACAGAUGAUACAAUCCUCAUUUUUCUUCACCAAUACCAAUCGUCGUCCAUGAGAUAAGGUCCUGAAUAAAGCAGUAACGAGAUAGAAAAAUUAAGCAACUAUUAGAACUAUGUGUGAGUUUACUGGCUGAUAGCAAGUUGAAAGAAAAGGAAGGAACACACAGGACAUUUGUUAAACGAAGUUUAUUUGAAAUGAGAAUAGUGCCAAUAUGAGUAACUCGUACAGAAGCACCAGUAGGCAAUUGAGCAAAAGAAUUUACUUUAGCUGUUAUAGUGUUGAGAAGAGAAGUUGAACACACCAUGUGGUCUGUUGCUCCCGUAUCAAUAAUCCAGGGAGCAUUCGAAAAAGAAGUAGGAGUAGAAGAAAAUGAUGGGCAAUGAUGUAUACAUGUCAUAUUGCAUAAUUUGAAUUGAGGCUGAAAUGAUGGGGUGAGGUUAUCACACUUACUGACCAAAGAAGCGUCAACGGGUGGAGCAUUGAUUGGUUUAAGUAAAUUGAGGAGCUGAUUGUAUUGUUCUUGAGUGAGUGGCAUUGAAGAAAGAUUCUGCUCGCUGGAAGAUGCCAUUGAAUGAACUUGGCUUGAAGAAUUAAUUCCUUUACUCUUGCCUGAUUUAAAACCCUAGAGGAAAACCAAUAAUUCUGAAGCACUUGUCAGUCGUGUGGGACGUAUAACCACUUUCAGCACAAUAUAAUUUUCCUUUUCGAGGGCCAGAUGGCUGCUUGAAUGAACCAGAUGAAUAUUGAGGCAGAGAAGGACCAGGUGCUGUCUUGCUAGCCAUAGCAGCAGAGUCAAACUGAGGAGUAUAAUGACCAAUAUGUAUUUGAGUUUCCUCUUGUAAAAUCAAAGAGAAAACUUUGUUGAGAGAAGGCGAGGGAUCAGAUAACAGUAUUUACCUCUUAAUGCAGCAAAAAUCUCAUUCAGUCCCAUAAGAAAGUGCAGAACGUAAUCUUGAAGAUGAUAAUCCAGUAGAGUUUUAACACCAGGACUGGAAUCAUUAGGUAAAGGACGAUAAUUGAAAUAUUGAUCCCACAAGGUUUUGAACUUGGUGAAAUAAUUAGUCACUGAUGACGAACCUUGAGUAAGAGCGCAGAUCGACCUUUUCAAUUGAAAGAUGUGGGGAGCAUUUCCUUAACUAAAUCUCUCUUCCAUUUCUUUCCACAGGUCAGAUGUAGUAGCAAUAUAAGGAACACUAGCAGCAAUAUCUUUAUUCAAGGAGUUUUAAGAUCCAAGAGCAAACCAUGUCAUUACAACGAAUCCAUGCUUGAUAAGAAGGAUCAGUUGUAGAUGGCUUUGGGAGAUUUCCAUUGAUAAAGCCAAGCUUGUUCUUAGCAGAGAUGGCCAUGGACAUUGAUCUCUUCCAAGGAAAGAAAUUGGAUCCGUUAAGAACUUAAGAAACCCAUACAGUACCAGGACUGUCAUUGUUUGCUAAGAACAGAGGAUUAGAAGAAUCUUCAGCAGCCAUAAUCACAAUCAGCAAAGGAACUAAUAUAGAACGCAGUAGAAGACAUAAAAUUGCUUUGAUACCAUAUCAAAAAAGGAGCUAGAAAAAGGUAAAAGAAUGGGAAAAUCCGGAGAGAAUCAGACUCUCUUUUCUUUUGUAUUCUGUAAAGAACUGAUUAAUGUUGUACAUUGAUUCUAUUUAUAGAAUUAGCUAUCAAAUUGCCAGCUACAACUAACUGCAUUCGAACUGCUAACUAACAGCUGUAACUAUUUAUUCCAGCUCAUCUUUUCUAACUUCAACUGCCUGUAACUGCAGCUUCAACUUUAGUUUUCGUUUCAGCUUCAGCCACCGGUUUUGCUUCAACAAGUUGUUGGGUUGUAACAGUGUUUCUUUUCAUCUUUUGAUUCAAUUCAGCUUGUGAGCACAUUUAAUCAUGGAACUUUGCACUCAUCAUCUGCGUCUGGUUUUAUGUCCAUUUGUAAGCAAAACUUCUAACCUUUGAAAUGCCUGGUUGGACGUUUUCUUUAUCUUUCCUUUCCUUGUACAAGCAAACGUUGAAUUGCCUCUUCCUUAUGAUGAUAUUAUUUCUCAGAAAUUGCUCAAGAUUAAAAAAACAGUAAAUAUAUUCAUAAACUGUCUUUGUACUUCCUUUUUGUAGCCAUUCGCGGAAAUUGGUUUCUUGAUUUCUGACACACUAGAUGGAGGGAUCAAGCAAGGAUCACCAGGUACAAAUCAUUCCACGUGGUAGGAAAUUUUGUCUUCUAAUCACUUCUUCGGUUUUGCAAUAUAUUAGAAAGUUUUGUUCUCUGUUCUAUGUUUGGUGUAAAUAAAAUUGUAUCGUCAAUUUAAAUAGUGAAUUUUGUUAGUUGCAUAUUGAGAUACGCAUACAAGUUAAGCAAGUUUUCUACGAAAUCUAAAUAUUGCUAAAUUGCACAAUGUGAC